Molecule: ribosomal RNA, 2162 nt
Filed under: human gut metagenome
Description: bacterial LSU rRNA
Rfam family: Bacterial large subunit ribosomal RNA
Source: RNAcentral
UGUUGCCUGCAAGGGCGUAUGGUGGAUGCCUUGGCAGACAGGACCGAUGAAGGACGUUUGAGGCUGCGAUAUGCCUCGGGGAGCCGCCAACAGGGCUUUGAUCCGAGGAUUUCCGAAUGGGGGAACCCACCGGCCGUCAUGGGCCGGUACCGCCGUGUGCGGGGGGUACGCAGGGAAGUGAAACAUCUCAGUACCUGCAGGAAAGGAUAUUCCGUGAGUAGUGGCGAGCGAAAGCGGAUCAGGCCAAACCUUGCGCGUGUGAUACCCGUCGGGGGUUGCGCGCGGGGUGUAGAGGGAUCGCGUUUGCCGGCUCCGACGGGCCGGCCGUCAGUUGCAUAAAACCAUGUGCCAGGGGAACCGGGUUGAAUACCGGGCCGCAGAGGGUGAGGGCCCCGUACCCGAACGCGCAUGGUCUGGCGAUCGCGUCUCCCAAGUAGCACGGGCCCCGUGGAAUCCCGUGCGAAUCUGUCCCGACCGUGGGAUAAGCCUAAAUAUUCCUGUCUGACCGAUAGCGAACGAGUACCGUGAGGGAAAGGUGAAAAGUACCCCGGGAGGGGAGUGAAACAGUCUCUGAAACCAUGCGCCUACGAACCGUCGGGGCCCUCUUGUGGGGUGACGGCGUGCCUAUCGAAAAAUGAGUCUGCGAGUCAGUGGCAUGUGGCGAGCAUAACCCGUGUGGGGUAUGCGUAGCGAAGGCGAGUCUUAAAAGGCGUUUGAGUCGCGUGUCCUGGACCCGAAGCGGGAUGAUCUAGCCCUGAGCAGGUUGAAGCGCGGGUAAGACCGUGUGGAGGACCGAACCCACCUGGGUUGAAAACCGGGGGGAUGACUUGGGGCUAGGGGUGAAAGGCCAAUCAAAUUCCGUGAUAGCUGGUUCUCUCCGAAAUGCAUUUAGGUGCAGCGUCGGAUCGAUUACAUCCGGGGGGUAGAGCGACUGGAUGCUUGCGGGCCCAUAUCGGGUACCAACAGCAACCAAACUCCGAAUACCCGUGAUGCGUAUCCCGGCAGUGAGUCGGCGGGGGAUAAGCUCCGUCGUCGAAAGGGAAACAGCCCAGAUCGUCGUCUAAGGUCCCCAAGCGUGUGCUAAGUGGGAAAGGAUGUGGAGUCGCAUAGACAGCCAGGAGGUUGGCUCAGAAGCAGCCACCCUUGAAAGAGUGCGUAACAGCUCACUGGUCUAGUGGUUCCGCGCCGACAAUGUAGCGGGGCUCAAGCACACCACCGAAGACGCGGCAGUAGCUUUGCUACUGGGUAGGAGAGCGUCCCAUGCGGGGCGAAGCGGCGGCGCAAGCCCGCCGUGGACCGCAUGGGAGUGAGAAUGCAGACAUGAGUAGCGAAAGACGGGUGAAGAUCCCGUCCGCUGGACGACCAAGGGUUCCAGGGCCACGUUCAUCGUCCCUGGGUGAGUCGGGUCCUAAGGCGAGGCCGACAGGCGUAGUCGAAUGGACGAACGGGUCGAUAUUCCCGUACCGGCAUGCAACCGGCAAAACCGAAUCCGCGAGUACUAACCUCCGGGUCCGGGCUCACGUCUCCUUCGGGAGCCGGAUGCCCUGGCCUGUUGGGACCGUAACGGUAGUAGGUCAGCGCGGGAGUGACGCAGAAGGGUAGCCGGCCGCGGAGGUGGUCUUCCGUGGUCAAGCACGCAGCCCGUCCCACAGGCAAAUCCGUGGGGCGCGUGGGCGAGGUGCGAUGAUGGGCGCCGCAGGGCGCGAUAUCCGGUGAUCCCGGCUGCCGAGAAAAGCUUCGGCGUGAGGCGGCAUGCCGCCCGUACCCCAAACCGACACUGGUGGUCAGGUAGAGAAUACCAAAGCGAUCGAGCGAAUCCUGGUCAAGGAACUCGGCAAAUCACUCCCGUUCCUUCGGUUCAAGGGAGACCCCCGAUGGUGAAGCGGCUUGCCCGCGGAGCUUUUGGGGGUGGCACAGACCAGGGGGUAGCGACUGUUUACCAAAAACACAGGAGCGUGCGAAGGCGCAAGCCGCUGUAUACGCUCUGACGCCUGCCCGGUGCCGGAAGGUUAAGAGGAUCCGUCAGGCCUCGGCCGAAGCGGUGAAUUCAAGCCCCGGUAAACGGCGGUGGUAACUAUAACCAUCCUAAGGUAGCGAAAUUCCUUGUCGGGUAAGUUCCGACCUGCACGAAUGGCGUAACGACUUCCCCACUGUCUCGACCA